Long non-coding RNA from Heterocephalus glaber (naked mole-rat), 5832 nucleotides. RefSeq lists it as uncharacterized. The record is from RefSeq and is a predicted model, not a curated record. NCBI's taxonomy places the organism in Eukaryota, Metazoa, Chordata, Mammalia, Rodentia, Bathyergidae.
GCCAGUUUCUCCAGCAUCAUUUAUUAAAGAGACUAUCUUUCUUCUAGUGAAGGUGUUUGGCCCCAUUGUCAAAGUUUUAGAAUCAUCUGUAGCUACAAAAAAAAAAAAAUCUAACUGGGAUUUGGUAGAAAUUGCUGCCAAGCAACUCAACUCAGCCCAGUCAUUCUGUGAACUGAGAUCCACACCAAACUACUAGCUGUGCUCCAGACAGUGGAGUUGGGAACAAAAUAUCCCCAAAUGGAGCAAGUGUAAUUCUUCAGCCCUUGCUCCAGGUCAAGGCCUGAACACUUGACAGCUUUCAGCAACCAGAGAGAACCCAAGGCUUCAAAGCUUUCUUCUUCCCGGAUCGAUGAUGCAUCCCUGCUGACCUUGGCAUCUUGGCACCUGGCACCUUGUCCUCAUUGGUGGACAAGACAGCUGUAGCAGGGGUCAGGGCACGCCUGCUGCCUGCUCAAUACUUUUAGGCAGAGCUUUGCAUUCACUUUUACAUCUGAAUAAGGCUGCAACUGCCUUCAGCUCAAGCAAAAGAUCUAAUGUUUUGAGUCCACCCAAAACUCUCAAGGUUAUUAUUCUGGACCCAUUUAGUUUACCUUUAGGGAUUCCUUGACUCAGCAGCCACAGCCACACAGCCAAACAGCCACACAGCCAGUGCCAAAGAAUUGCUGUCCUAACAAUAUCCCUUCUUCUGCCCACCUGCCGGAGUCACAAUCAAGGCACCAUUUGGACAGUUUGUUUCAAUCCUACCUGUAGUUGCUGAGCCUCUACAUUAUUAGCUCAACCUCUCCACAUUAGCUCAACAAGGGUUGAAUGAACAAGGGUUCACUAGCAGGCAGGACAGUGGGAACUCUUAAUCUCUGCCAGCCCUUAUCCCAUACCUAUCACUUGUGUGAGACCCUUCACUACCAGAUUUCCAGGAGCCUUAUAUUUCCAUGGCCCAUGUAUUUUUUUUUCCCCCUCCAGAUAAUAUCAGCAUUGCAUCUUUGAUGUCAAAACUCUUGGACUCUGUUUUACCCUAUUUACAAACCAGUUAAGUCUGUCACAAGCUUAUCCAGGCUGACAAAAGACAUGCGACUCCUGGAUUAGAGGCAAGGGACUUUAUCAAUUAUGGCACCGCAUGCAGAAUACAUGGCAGCACAUUCCACAAGGGGAACACAAAGACCUGGAUGGAUACUCGGCAUGAGUGGCUUUGUACUGUACCAAGGAAGAGUCAGCAUAAGGAAUCUGUAUAUGGGAAACAGGUAGAAAUUGUCCACAAUAUCCCCAAACCUGUAAUCAUAUAACAGAAAAUACAUCUAGGAUCAGUUUCAGAAAGCAAAUGGGCUAUAAAUGAUACAUGAAGAUUUCAUCAUUUGAUCUGCUGCCUUCCAAACAAUCAAAAUGAAGGAUUACCAUUAAAAUAGCACCAAAUGGAAUACUAUUUAAAAAGGAGCAAAGGAGAGAGAAGUAGGGAGAACUGCUAUGGUAAGAUUAUUUAAAAAUCAUAUAUAACAGUGACAAUGGGAAUUUAAAUCUUAGAAGAUAAGUGCAUAAUUAAGAUUUCAUUAUCAUAUUUCUAUUUGCCACAAUUUCUACUUGUAGUGUUAUGUGUUUCAGAUAUUCUGUAUUUUAUUUAUUUAAUUUUUUCUCCCCGGUACUGGGGAUCAAACUCAGGACCUCGAACUUGGAAGGCAGGCACAGUGCCAGUGAGCUAAAUCCCCAGCCCAGUAUUCUGUAUUUUAAAAUGACACAUCAAAACAAUGAGGAAAAAAACAAGAAGCGUCAGAGUUUGAAAGGGAAGAAAAAAGCAACUGAGCAAAGCAUUUCUUUCUGCAUAAAUGUUAUUACUGUGAAAUUUUUCACCUUAGCAAUUGAUUAUACAUACUCUUUGUUGCUGCAAUAAUUUCAAAUAGGUUUUUUAAUAGAUUCAGACUGAAAUAACAGUAAACUAGAAACACAUUGUUAAUAAACAUUAUAUUCCUAUUAACAAAUUAGAAGAUAUCUUCCAAAACUCCAUGCUAUAAAUUGGUCAAAUUCUGUUGAUUAGUUAAUAAAAGUGGGAUGCAUUUAACAAUAUGUUAAUACUCCUAUCCCCAAAAUAGCUAAUUGUAGGCUCUGCUGAGGCAUUUUUGUUACAAAAUACAGAGAAAGCAUUGUUGAUAUUCUCAGCAGGCUUUAGCAUAGAUGAGGGUGCAAAUGCAAGCCAGGUUGCACUAAGGAGAAAAUAUAAAAAACACACAUAUAUACAAAACCAAAACAAAACAAAACCAACAACAAAAAAUCCCACCCUACAAAACAAUUACCUCAGGUGAUGCAAAUCCUAAAUAUUCCCAAUCCCAUGUUCCACCAGCAAAGCUACAAAGAAAUUAGACAUACCACAUGAUUAUUAUCAGUACUAUGAAGAACAUCCAACUAGACGUUUGCCCUUUGAGUAUUAUUUUCUUUUUUUCUUUUUUGUUUUGGUACUGGGGAUUGAACUUGGGUCCUUGUCCUUGUGCUUGUGAGGCAAGCAGCAGAACCACUGAGCUAAAUCCCUGGCCCUUGAGUAUUACUUUUAAUUCUUCUACUUAGAACUUCCUUAACCAAAGCAGAUUGACUAUUAAUAUAUAACAGAAAAGAAAAUUUCAUUAUUUUUUUCAAAUUCUAAAUUGUUUUAUAAUGGUGCAAAAUAAUGAAAAAAAUAAAAAUCACCACAUUACAACAAAGUAUUUUACGACUGCUCCUAUUUUUAAUAAUAAAAUUACUUAUAAAUAUUUAGGUAAAAAUAAGGCCAAAGAAAUUUCUAAUGCUCAUAGUCAUUAUGAAUAUGAAAAUAUGCUUCAAUUUAUAAUGGCAGAAGUAGUAUAAGUAUCUUAAAACAAGCAAAAUAAUUGCUCUUUUAGGGAUGCAUCUUGAUUGCUUAAAUAACUUUACUAAUAGCAGAUUUCUCAUUUCUUUACAACUUCCCAAGACAAAAGUAAAAACAUGACAAUAACAAGCUGGCAGUUUCCAAAUUCUACAUCACAUCUAUGACAGUCAUGACAUGACUAUAUCUAUUACACAUCUGAAAUGGUGCAUUAGAAUGAUUCUGAAUUAUGAGUUCACUUGAAAUGUGAAAUUAACCUAGCCUAAUUUAGUCUGACGAACUAUACACCAAUAAACAACAAAAAAGAAACACCAUGAAAAAUAGAAAUAAUGAGGGAAAAUAUCAUCAAAAAGAAGUUAACAUACUUUAUCAACUAUCCAUGUUUCAAAGCAGGUGGCGGAACCACUGAGCUAAAUCCCCAGCCCAACUAUCCAUGUUUCAGGUGUAAAUAACUUCCAAGAAUGUGAGGUAUAGUUGGAUAAAAAAUAAAACUGCUGCGAUUUGUUCUCAAGGUAGGAUGGUCUCUGCAGUGUAUAUCUUUUACCUGCGCCUUGGAGCUUCAGGUGAGUCUGCAGGAGCAACUCCACGAGCCACAGAGGCCAGGAAUUCUUGCCUCUUUUGCUGCACAAGGCAUGCUGCCUUGAUAAUCUUGUGGCGAGGUGUGCGAAGGUAAGGCCUAUUGACUUUUUGGGCAAGGUCUUCAGUAACCAUUUCUAGGUCUGUCUAUGGUAAGAAGAAAAUAAAAAGAUGAGUGGGUUAAUAAAUAACAAAUCCAGAGUCUAUCUGGUUUCUCAGUUAAAUUUAACUCUCUUGAAGUCAGAAAUUCAAAUUUUGAAAUGAUUUCUUAUUUCACAUAUUUUUAUUUUUGUACAUUUUUCCACAUUAGGAAAGAGAAAGGAUCAUAUAUAUGAAGUUAUUUUAAACCCAGGAAAAUAGCACUCAAUUGAUAAGCAUUAGUAGCAAUGCAGUUGUUAGAGAUUAUGAAGAAGUUGCUGAGUAUAGCAGCUGUUACAAGGAAUUCAUAAUUUGUCUACGUGAAAAAACUAUUUCAAAGCACGGCACAAAAAAUACAUCAUGCCAUGAUGCAGAUUACAUUUACAUGGUUAACGAAUUUGAAGCAAAGCAAGACAACUGUGAUUUGGGGUUAGAUCUGAAAGGCUUUAUGGAGAAAAUGAAUUUUGAGCAUUGAAAGAAAUGUGAGAUACAUGUUAAGCACAGGGCAGAUCAAAAGGACGCUAUGAAAAUUAUAAUGGGGAAGUCUGGUGACUUCAAAGAAAAGAAGAAUUUACAAUGAAGUUCAUUGGCUGUGGUGAUGUCAGUUGGCUUAGGUGUUUUUGUUUCUUUAAUACCGCAACUUUCAAAAUAAAUGGGUAAACAGUAAUUUUCUAAUGUAGUAUGUAAUGUGGUUGUUUCAUCUGUAAAGAUAAAAUUCUUAUUAUAUAAUUAUCAGUAAGUAGGCCAGAUUUCAACCUCAAUUAGCUUGAAACAAAAAAGAAAUGCUUUAAGAAAUGUUACCACAGCUCUGAAUUCACCCGAACUUAUAAUGACAUUUAAAUAUAAAGAAAAUUUCAGUUUAUUAUCAGUAACUUUAAAAACAAAAAUCAUUUUAAAAAGAAAAAUUACUAGUCACACCCAAAUCAGUGAAAAUUUAAGAGGCUGAAAAAUCUGUUUUCAUAAUAAUAACUGGUACCAUUUUCAUGUAAUUUUAAAAGGUGUCUUACUUGCAUAAGUUCAAAAAUUUCUUUCUUUGUGCUUUUAGGUUCUAAGAAAAAUCCAUAUGGAUAAGAACACUUGAGAAUACGCCGAGUUUUUAAGAGCACAUGAACUGCAUCUUCAAUGAAAGUGGUAUCUGGACAGCCUCCUUCAGCUAUAAAUUUUUACAGAAGCAGACUGGGACUGGAAUUUUCAUAUCUUCAUCAAAGAGAAAAAGGAAAACUUGGAAGAAUGUAAGGAUACUCUAAAGUAUAUUCAACUUAGUACCUCAUUAAAAUGAAGUCAUUUCCUUGGAUUGCUCCUCCACAUGCUGAAUGACUUCAUAGCGAGUACAUCUGUAAUAACCUCCAGUGGAAGAACUAUGUUUUUUCCAUUCUUCAAGGCAAAUCCAGCAAAAAUCAUACUUGCACUUCAAAAGAAAACAUAUGCAAACAUCUUCCUAUAUGAACAUGCAAAUGAUAGUUGGCUUUUCAGUCAACCAGUACGUAAUAAUUGAAUAAUCCUGUCUGUGUGACCAGAAACUAGUCUUAAAGACAUGCCCUCAUGUUUUCACUGUAUAUUUUAUCUGCAUUAUGGCAAGAUGUGGGGGGUAGUUUAAAACUGUUUGAAAGGAUAAAUUUAAAUGAAAACCAUAAUAUUAUAAAGUAAUCACAAAGAAUCAUUAAUAUCAACAGGAAGACUAGGGAUGUAGCUCAGUAUUACAUGGGGGGGUGGGGGGGGGCUGGGUUCAAUCCCUAGUACUGGGGAAAAAAAAUCAACAGGACAUUCUUCCCAAUAAUAAAACAAGUACUGAAUGAAUGUUUCAUUUUUCAAGUAUGUGGUAGAAUCUUACACUGGUUGGUCUAUAGUCCCACCCGGCUAUUUGAAAAACUCUGGCAACUUUGACAAAUUUGUUUUAAAACUGGAAUAAGUUUAAAAGGCCUCUAAGUAAAAUAGCUGACAUAAAAUCUAUUUCUCAUUUUAAAGAAAACUUCAUGUACUUGAAAAUACAUAUUUUUCUUUUGUGCUUAUGGAUUCUGAAUUAGGUAGAAAGAUCUUUACAUUCCAAGUAUAUGUUAUCUUCUGGUACUUUUACCAGUACUUUUGGUACUAGUUUAUUUUUUUUAAAGAAACAUUUAAGUUUUUGAGCCAUUAGAAAUUUAUCUGAAUAUGUAGUAUGCAGCAUAAAUUUAACUUCAUUUUUCUCCCCAUGUAGCUGCCCAGAGUUAUCCUAAUAGUAUUUACUGAAUAGUUCAUGCUUCUCCAUUGGUUAAGGAUGCUACUGUUACCAUGAAUAAACUCCCACACAUUGUAUCUAU